This is a small nucleolar RNA of Gracilinanus agilis (Agile Gracile Mouse Opossum), 67 nucleotides long. RefSeq annotates it as small nucleolar RNA SNORD43. NCBI's taxonomy places the organism in Eukaryota, Metazoa, Chordata, Mammalia, Didelphimorphia, Didelphidae. The record is from RefSeq and is a predicted model, not a curated record. The transcript has a single exon.
UACAUGUGAUGAAAUCUAUGACGGGCGGACAGAGAAAACACGUGCUGAACGUCAUGUUCUGAUGGUA